UGGGGAAUAUUGCGCAAUGGGCGGAAGCCUGACGCAGCGACGCCGCGUGGGGGAUGACGGCCUUCGGGUUGUAAACCUCUUUCGGCCCCGACGAAGCGUGAGUGACGGUAGGGGUAGAAGAAGCACCGGCCAACUACGUGCCAGCAGCCGCGGUAAUACGUAGGGUGCGAGCGUUGUCCGGAAUUAUUGGGCGUAAAGAGCUCGUAGGCGGUCUGUCGCGUCGAUCGUGAAAACUUGGGGCUUAACCCUGAGCUUGCGGUCGAUACGGACAUGACUGGAGUUCGGCAGGGGAGACUGGAAUUCCUGGUGUAGCGGUGAAAUGCGCAGAUAUCAGGAGGAACACCGGUGGCGAAGGCGGGUCUCUGGGCCGAUACUGACGCUGAGGAGCGAAAGCGUGGGGAGCGAACAGG
This 410-nucleotide ribosomal RNA is filed under the name Bacillota bacterium. RNAcentral describes it as "Firmicutes bacterium partial 16S ribosomal RNA". It matches the Rfam family "Bacterial small subunit ribosomal RNA", at positions 355 to 776 of the family's 1533-position model. Lineage: Bacteria; Bacillati; Bacillota. The record is from RNAcentral.